GAUGAACGCUGGCGGCGUGCUUAACACAUGCAAGUCGAACGAUGAAGCCCAGCUUGCUGGGUGGAUUAGUGGCGAACGGGUGAGUAACACGUGAGUAACCUGCCCUUGACUCUGGGAUAAGCCUGGGAAACUGGGUCUAAUACUGGAUAUGACUUCUCAUCGCAUGGUGGGGGGUGGAAAGAUUUAUUGGUCUUGGAUGGACUCGCGGCCUAUCAGCUUGUUGGUGAGGGAAUGGCUCACCAAGGCGACGACGGGUAGCCGGCCUGAGAGGGUGACCGGCCACACUGGGACUGAGAGACGGCGCAGACUCCUACGGGAGGCAACAGUGGGGAAUAUUGCACAAUGGGCGCAAGCCUGAUGCAACGGCGCCGCGUGCGGGAAGACGGGCUUCGGGUUGUAAACCUCUUUCAGUAGGGAAGAAGCGAGAGUGACGGUACCUGCAGAAGAAGCGCCGGCUAACUACGUG
Molecule: ribosomal RNA, 466 nt
Filed under: uncultured bacterium
Lineage: Bacteria
Description: partial 16S ribosomal RNA
Rfam family: Bacterial small subunit ribosomal RNA
Source: RNAcentral